Molecule: non-coding RNA, 156 nt
Organism: Paramuricea clavata
Lineage: Eukaryota; Metazoa; Cnidaria; Anthozoa; Malacalcyonacea; Plexauridae
Source: the annotation of a GenBank genome assembly
GACCGCGUAGCUCAGUUGGAAGAGCAUUGGGCUAGUAUUCCACAACCUCGUACCCAGGGCCAGUCGUGAGUUGAAGGCAGCGCCUUCAAUUCGCGGCUAGCCCUGGGUACGAGGUUGGUAUUCCAAAGGUCGUAGGUUCGAAUCCCACCGUGGCCG